AUUGAACGCUGGCGGCAGGCCUAACACAUGCAAGUCGGGCGAGCGGCGGACGGGCGAGUAAUGCAUGGCGAUCUGCCUGAUGGUGGGCGAUAACUACUGGAAAAGGUAGCUAAUACCGCAUACCAUCAGAUGAACCCAUAUGGGAUUAUCUUUCAGGUGAGGUAACGGGUCACUUAGGUGACGAUCCCUACCUGGCCUGAGAGGAUGAUCAUCCAGCCUGGGACUGAGACACGGCCCAGACUCCAAAGUGAGGCAGCAGUGGGGAAUAUUGCACAAUGGACGCAAGCCUGAUGCAGCCAUGCCGCGUGUAUGAAGAAGGCCUUCGGGUUGUAAAGUACUUUCAGUCGGGAGGCGUUAACGACAGAUGAGGCGCCGGCUGACUCCGUGCCAGCGGCGGCGGUAAUAC
RNAcentral lists this ribosomal RNA (406 nucleotides) under uncultured bacterium. RNAcentral describes it as "partial 16S ribosomal RNA". It matches the Rfam family "Bacterial small subunit ribosomal RNA", at positions 30 to 526 of the family's 1533-position model. The record is from RNAcentral.